This 246-nucleotide ribosomal RNA is filed under the name uncultured bacterium. RNAcentral's name for it is "partial small subunit ribosomal RNA". It matches the Rfam family "Bacterial small subunit ribosomal RNA", at positions 26 to 286 of the family's 1533-position model. The record is from RNAcentral.
AGAAUCAACGCUGGCGGCGUGCCUAACACAUGCAAGUCGAACGAGAAAGUGGAGCAAUCCAUUAGUAAAGUGGCGCACGGGUGAGUAACACGUGACUAACCUACCCUUGAGUGGGGGAUAACCUAGGGAAACCUGGGCUAAUACCGCAUAAUACCUUCGGGUCAAAGGAGCAAUUCGCUUAAGGAGGGGGUCGCGGCCGAUUAGUUAGUUGGCGGGGUAAUGGCCCACCAAGACUGUGAUCGGUAU